UAGUGAUAGCUGGUUGUUCAGGAAAAGAGUUUUAGCUCUGCCUUAAGUUUUUUUAUUUUACCAAACAAGCUCAAAAACUUAAGAGUUAUUCAAAUUAGGCACAGCUUAUUUGAAACAGGAUACAACCUCAACCAUUGGGUAAACAAGGGUAAUAAAAAUAAAGUGGGCCCAAAAGCAGCCACCUUCCAAAAAGCGUCAAAGCUUAAUUACUCAAGCCCGUAAUUUCCAAAACACUCUACAACCCCUCAUCUAUACUGAACUAUUUUAUAUAUAUAUAAAAAUAAUUAUGCUAGAACUAGUAACAAGAAGUUACCCUUCUCCUUAAUGUGAGCAUACACCAAAACGGACACUCCAUUGGUAGUUAACGUAGAUGCAAAACCAUAAUAACAUAACCAGAAAACCUUAUGGCCACCCAACGUUACCCUUACACCAGAGCAUUACAGGAAAGAUUAAAAGAAAGAGAAGGAACUCGGCAAAUUUUAACCCCGCCUGUUUACCAAAAACAUCGCCUCUUGAUUAAAAAUAAGAGGUCCAGCCUGCCCAGUGAUAAUAUUAAACGGCCGCGGUAUACUAACCGUGCGAAGGUAGCAUAAUCACUUGUUCUUUAAAUGGGGACUUGUAUCAACGGCAUCACGAGGGUUAUACUGUCUCCUCUCUCCAAUCAGUGAAACUGAUCCCCCCGUGAAGAAGCGGGGAUUUUAUUAUAAGACGAGAAGACCCCAUGGAGCUUUAAACUCGACAUACACCAAGGCACUAAAACACCAAUUUAACCCAAAAACCUGUACGUCAGUUUUAGGCUGGGGGGGCCACGGAGUAAAACUAAACCUCCACAACAAAUGGGCUAACACCCUUAUUUAAGAUUUACAAAUCUAAGAAUCACCAAAAUGAUGUUUAAUGACCCGAUAAUUCGAUCAAUGGACCAAGUUACCCUGGGGAUAACAGCGCAAUCUACUUCAAGAGCCCUUAUCGACAAGUAGGUUUACGACCUCGAUGUUGGAUCAGGGUAUCCUAGUGGUGCAACCGCUACUAACGGUUCGCUUGUUCAGCGAUUAAAACCCU
This 1059-nucleotide ribosomal RNA is filed under the name Odorrana tianmuii. RNAcentral's name for it is "partial 16S ribosomal RNA". It matches the Rfam family "Bacterial large subunit ribosomal RNA", at positions 840 to 2597 of the family's 2925-position model. Lineage: Eukaryota; Metazoa; Chordata; Amphibia; Anura; Ranidae. The record is from RNAcentral.